UCGCUCAUGAGCGCAUUCCCGUUCAUACGCGUUUCAUUUCUGUGGCUCGCUCUGGGGUGCGCAGGUCCCCGUGACAGUGUUACACGAUGCUUCGAGCUGGUCUAAAUUAAGACGGGCCGGAUUUGGCCGAAGGGCCGGACUUUGGGCAUGUCUGGUCUAAUGCAGCAACAACAGGUUAAGAUUCAGACAUAGUUAAGAGGUGACUGAUGUCGCUCUUUCCAACUCGCGGCCACAGUAGCCGCAAUGGCCAGCCACACACAGCUGCUGGUCCAGACUACACCUUCGUGCCGCGAUGCCAAGCGCAGCAGAUAUGCAGCUCAUGGACAUCGGGCACAAGAAGAGUGAAGGAACUGAACCAUCAACGAAACAAAGUCUUUCGGCGAAUCCUUCUCUAUACUGACAAAUGAGUUCUGAAAGACUCGUCCUUGAACAAGCAGGACUUUGCCCACAGAUGUGGAAACAAAAUUUGACCAGGAAAUUCUUUGAGGUUCUGAUGCUUGGGGGCGGUGCAAUGAGUUGUGUGGAAUUAUGCAUCCAACAACGGAACGUUUUGAUCCCUCCACUUCGGCAUCCUUGAGUUGUUUGGACGACAAAAGUCUCUCCGAGUAAUAAAGAUGGCGGAUUUGCGAAACCGUGUGGCCACACGCAUUACCUUGUUUGGUGGUCCUUCCCCAAAUGAUGUGACGUAAUAGAUAUAAAUACAUAAUAGAAAAUGGAGAAAAAAAUAGUAAAAACAAGUAAAAAAUAGCCCCCAAACAGAUCAUGUUAUCUCUAUGAGUAUCUCUGCAACACCUGGAGGGAUACAGUUUUCUACAAUCUUGGAGGGUCCAAGUGCACAAUAAAAUGAAUAUAAAAGCAAAAAAACUGUGGAUUUUCUAGGAUAUGUCUGGAAACAAAGUAUGCUACAUGUUUUAUUUUUGUAGUGUUAUCAACAUAGUUGGUAACCAGUGACUUGCAGUGAGGUGCAUGACUGGGGAGGCACUGGCGUCACAUACCAAUACUCAAUAAAGCACAUGAAAUCAAAAACUUUA
This is a long non-coding RNA of Syngnathus typhle (broad-nosed pipefish), 1031 nucleotides long. RefSeq lists it as uncharacterized. The record is from RefSeq and is a predicted model, not a curated record. The transcript is spliced from 2 exons. NCBI's taxonomy places the organism in Eukaryota, Metazoa, Chordata, Actinopteri, Syngnathiformes, Syngnathidae.